ACAGGUGGGUGGGAUGAGUAUUCUAAGGCGCGUGGAAGAACCCUGGUUAAGGAACUCUGCAAACUAGCACCGUAUCUUCGGUAUAAGGUGUGCCUACUUUGGUAUAUGGGCUUGCCCCAAAAAGCUAGAGAGGUUGCAACAGAGAGUCCCUCCCGACUGUUUACCAAAAACACAGCACUUUGCUAACACGUAAGUGGAUGUAUAAGGUGUGACGCCUGCCCGGUGCUCGAAGGUUAACUGAUGAUGUCAGCGCAAGCGAAGCAUUUGAUUGAAGCCCGAGUAAACGGCGGCCGUAACAAUAACGGUCCUAAGGUAGCGAAAUUCCUUGUCGGUUAAAUACCGACCUGCAUGAAUGGCGUAACGAGAUGGGAGCUGUCUCAACCAGGGAUCCAGUGAAAUUGUAGUGGAGGUGAAAAUUCCUCCUACCCGCGGAAAGACGGAAGGACCCCGUGUACCUUUACUACAGCUUGACACUGUAGCUUGGAUAUUCAUGUGCAGGAUAGGUGGGAGGCUAUGAUAUAUGGACGCAAGUACAUAUGGAGCCAUCCUUGAGAUACCACCCUUGAAUAUUUGAGUUACUAACUGCGACGAGUUAACCUCGUUCAGGACAAUGUCUGGUGGGUAGUUUGACUGGGGCGGUCGCCUCCUAAAAAGUAACGGAGGCUUACAAAGGUUAGUUCAAAGCGGUUGGAAAUCGCUUGUUGAGUAUAAUGGCAUAAACUAGCUUGACUGUGAGACAUACAAGUCGAACAGAGACGAAAGUCGGUCAUAGUGAUCCGGUGGUUCUGUGUGGAAGGGCCAUCGCUCAAAGGAUAAAAGGUACGCCGGGGAUAACAGGCUGAUCUCCCCCAAGAGCUCACAUCGACGGGGAGGUUUGGCACCUCGAUGUCGGCUCAUCGCAUCCUGGGGCUGUAGUCGGUCCCAAGGGUAUGGCUGUUCGCCAUUUAAAGCGGUACGCGAGCUGGGUUCAGAACGUCGUGAGACAGUUCGGUCCCUAUCUUCCGUGGGCGUAGGAAAGUUGAAGAGAUUUGUCCCUAGUACGAGAGGACCGGGAUGAACGUACCACUGGUGUACCAAUUGUUCUGCCAAGAGCAUCGUUGGGUAGCUACGUACGGAUGUGAUAAGAGCUGAAAGCAUCUAAGCUCGAAGCCAACUCUAAGAUGAACUUUCCCUGAGGUUCCCAGCAAGACUAGCUGGUUGAUAGGCUGGAUGUGUAAGCGUUGUAAGACGUUUAGCUGACCAGUACUAAUAGAACGUUUGGCUUAAC
This 1267-nucleotide ribosomal RNA is filed under the name metagenome. Its description in RNAcentral is "bacterial LSU rRNA". It matches the Rfam family "Bacterial large subunit ribosomal RNA", at positions 1659 to 2925 of the family's 2925-position model. The record is from RNAcentral.